AGCAAGUGGAGGCUUGGAAACCAAUUGUAGAUGCAGUUCAUGCUAAAGGAGGAAUCUUCUUUUGCCAAAUUUGGCAUGUUGGUAGAGUUUCCAACAAAGAUUUUCAGCCCAAUGGAGAGGAUCCUAUCUCCUGCACAGACAGAGGACUAACACCUCAAAUUCGUUCCAAUGGCAUAGAUAUUGCACACUUUACACGACCUAGACGGUUGACAACAGAUGAAAUUCCUCAAAUUGUUAACGAAUUUCGAG
Molecule: unclassified non-coding RNA, 249 nt
Filed under: Hevea brasiliensis (rubber tree)
Lineage: Eukaryota; Viridiplantae; Streptophyta; Magnoliopsida; Malpighiales; Euphorbiaceae
Source: RNAcentral